Molecule: ribosomal RNA, 490 nt
Filed under: uncultured bacterium
Lineage: Bacteria
Description: partial 16S ribosomal RNA
Rfam family: Bacterial small subunit ribosomal RNA
Source: RNAcentral
AUUGAACGCUGGCGGCAUGCUUUACACAUGCAAGUCGAACGGUAACAGGCCUUCGGGUGCUGACGAGUGGCGAACGGGUGAGUAAUGCAUCGGAACGUACCCAGAGGUGGGGGAUAACGCAGCGAAAGCUGUGCUAAUACCGCAUGUGAUCUGAGGAUGAAAGCGGGGGACCGAGCAGCAAUGUUUGGCCUCGCGCCUUUGGAGCGGCCGAUGUCGGAUUAGCUAGUUGGUGGGGUAAAGGCCUACCAAGGCGACGAUCCGUAGCUGGUCUGAGAGGACGACCAGCCACACUGGGACUGAGACCCGGCCCAGACUCCUACGGGAGGCAGCAGUGGGGAAUUUUGGACAAUGGGCGCAAGCCUGAUCCAGCAAUGCCGCGUGCGGGAAGAAGGCCUUCGGGUUGUAAACCGCUUUUGGCAGGAACGAAACGGUGUCCGCUAAUACCGGGCGCUAAUGACGGUACCUGCAGAAUAAGCACCGGCUAACUACG